RNAcentral lists this ribosomal RNA (460 nucleotides) under uncultured bacterium. RNAcentral describes it as "partial 16S ribosomal RNA". It matches the Rfam family "Bacterial small subunit ribosomal RNA", at positions 338 to 795 of the family's 1533-position model. The record is from RNAcentral.
CCUACGGGAGGCAGCAGUGAGGAAUAUUGGUCAAUGGACGAGAGUCUGAACCAGCCAAGUAGCGUGAAGGAUGACUGCCCUAUGGGUUGUAAACUUCUUUUAUAUGGGAAUAAAAUGUUCCACGUGUGGGAUUUUGUAUGUACCAUAUGAAUAAGUAUCGGCUAACUCCGUGCCAGCAGCCGCGGUAAUACGGAGGAUCCGAGCGUUAUCCGGAUUUAUUGGGUUUAAAGGGAGCGUAGGUGGAUUGUUAAGUCAGUUGUGAAAGUUUGCGGCUCAACCGUAAAAUUGCAGUUGAAACUGGCAGUCGUGAGUACAGUAGAGGUGGGCGGAAUUCGUGGUGUAGCGGUGAAAUGCUGAGAUAUCACGAAGAACUCCGAUUGCGAAGGCAGCUCACUGGACUGCAACUGACACUGAGGCUCGAAAGUGUGGGUAUCAAACAGGAUUAGAUACCCCUGUAGUC